Molecule: ribosomal RNA, 1241 nt
Filed under: metagenome
Description: SSU rRNA
Rfam family: Eukaryotic small subunit ribosomal RNA
Source: RNAcentral
ACAUGGAUAACUGUGGUAAUUCUAGAGCUAAUACAUGCAUCCAGCUCGGCUGCCUUGUGCAGCGAGCGCAGUUAUUAGAACAAAACCAAUCCGGCUUCUGUCGGUAAAUUGGUGACUCUGAAUAACCGAAGCGGAGCGCUAAGGUCUCGUACCGGCGCCAGAUCUUUCAAGUGUCUGACUUAUCAGCUUGUUGAGAGGUUAUGUUCCUCGCAUGGCUGUUACGGGUGACGGGGAAUCAGGGUCCGAUUCCGGAGAGGGAGCCUGAGAAACGGCUAUCACAUCCAAGGAAGGCAGCAGGCGCGCAAAUUACCCACUCCCGGCACGGGGAGGUAGUGACGAAAAAUAACGAUGCGAGAGCUUUUAGCUUUUCGUAAUCGGAAUGGGUACACUUUAAAUCCUUUAACGAGGAUCUAUUGGAGGGCAAGUCUGGUGCCAGCAGCCGCGGUAAUUCCAGCUCCAAUAGCGUAUAUUAGAGUUGCUGCGGUUAAAAAGCUCGUAGUUGGAUCCGGGCAGUCGACGCGCGGUGCGCUUUACGGCGUUACUGCGUGCUCGUCGCCACUAUCCGGCCUUGUCUUUCAUGUUCUUUACUGAGCGUGAUCGGCGACCGGGACGUUUACUUUGAAAAAAUUAGAGUGCUUAAAGCAGGCAUAUGGCCUUGCAUAAUGGUGCAUGGAAUAAUGGAAUAGGACCUCGGUUCUAUUUUGUUGGUUUUCGGAGCUCGAGGUAAUGAUUAAGAGGAACAGACCGGGACAUUCGUAUUGCGGCGUUAGAGGUGAAAUUCUUGGAUCGUCGCAAGACGAACUACUGCGAAAGCAUUUGUCAAGAAUGUUUUCAUUAAUCAAGAACGAAAGUUAGAGGUUCGAAGGCGAUCAGAUACCGCCCUAGUUCUAACCAUAAACGAUGCCAACCAGCGAUCCGUCGGUGUUCAUUCAAUGACUCGACGGGCAGCUUCCGGGAAACCAAAGUGCUUAGGUUCCGGGGGAAGUAUGGUUGCAAAGCUGAAACUUAAAGGAAUUGACGGAAGGGCACCACCAGGAGUGGAGCCUGCGGCUUAAUUUGACCCAACACGGGAAAACUUACCCGGCCCGGACACUGUAAGGAUUGACAGAUUGAGAGCUCUUUCUUGAUUCGGCGGUUGGUGGUGCAUGGCCGUUCUUAGUUGGUGGAGCGAUUUGUCUGGUUAAUUCCGAUAACGAACGAGACUCUAGCCUGCUAAAUAGCCAUCUGAUCCGCUGCGUCGG